This 464-nucleotide ribosomal RNA is filed under the name uncultured bacterium. RNAcentral describes it as "partial 16S ribosomal RNA". It matches the Rfam family "Bacterial small subunit ribosomal RNA", at positions 339 to 795 of the family's 1533-position model. The record is from RNAcentral.
CUACGGGAGGCAGCAGUGGGGAAUAUUGGACAAUGGGGGCAACCCUGAUCCAGCCAUGCCGCGUGUGUGAAGAAGGCCUUAGGGUUGUAAAGCACUUUCAGUGGUGAGGAAGGCUGAGUAGUUAAUACCUGCUUAGUUUGACGUUAGCCACAGAAGAAGCACCGGCUAACUCUGUGCCAGCAGCCGCGGUAAUACAGAGGGUGCGAGCGUUAAGCGGAAUUACUGGGCGUAAAGCGCGCGUAGGUGGUUUGUUAAGUCGGAUGUGAAAUCCCCGGGCUCAACCUGGGAACUGCACCCGAUACUGGCAGGCUAGAGUACGAUAGAGGGGUGUGGAAUUUCCGGUGUAGCGGUGAAAUGCGUAGAUAUAGGAAGGAACAUCAGUGGCGAAGGCGACACCCUGGAUUGAUACUGACACUGAGGUGCGAAAGCGUGGGGAGCAAACAGGAUUAGAUACCCCCGUAGUC